GCUAGUUGGAAUCGAACACAUAACCCACCAGCCUACAAUGACUUAGGACUGAAACCCAAACCACUGGGCCGAAGCACAUUUCUUGUUACAUUUUCUCCAUAACAAGUACUUGUCCUAAAAUCUAAAUGCUGGGCUUGAAAAAAAAUAAAAUUAAGGCCCCAAAAAUGUUGGGCCCUGGGCUGGGGGCCUGGUUGCCCUAGCCCAAAACCGGGCCUGG
Molecule: long non-coding RNA, 217 nt
Filed under: Trifolium pratense (red clover)
Lineage: Eukaryota; Viridiplantae; Streptophyta; Magnoliopsida; Fabales; Fabaceae
Description: long non-coding RNA (TPRA_LNC012450)
Source: RNAcentral